RNAcentral lists this ribosomal RNA (229 nucleotides) under uncultured bacterium. RNAcentral describes it as "partial 16S ribosomal RNA". It matches the Rfam family "Bacterial small subunit ribosomal RNA", at positions 568 to 796 of the family's 1533-position model. The record is from RNAcentral.
AGCGCAGGCGGAUCUGUAAGUCAGGGGUGAAAUCCUACAGCUUAACUGUAGAACUGCCUUUGAUACUGCAGGUCUUGAGAUCGGAAGAGAGAGACGGAAUUCCAGGUGUAGUGGUGAAAUACGUAGAUAUCUGGAAGAACACCGAUGGCGAAGGCAGUCUCUUGGUCCGCAUCUGACGCUGAGGCUCGAAAGCGUGGGGAGCAAACAGGAUUAGAUACCCUGGUAGUCC